This is a long non-coding RNA of Solanum tuberosum (potato), 2840 nucleotides long. RefSeq lists it as uncharacterized. The transcript has 6 exons. Lineage: Eukaryota; Viridiplantae; Streptophyta; Magnoliopsida; Solanales; Solanaceae. The record is from RefSeq and is a predicted model, not a curated record.
UUUAACUCUCUCUCCAACUUUUAAUAGGACAAAAUAAUUUAGAAAAUAAACUCUAAAAUACUUUUCCCAAAUCACUCUAAAUCUCUCUGAAGAAAGAUCGGAGAAGAAACCUCUCAGAAAAAAUUCCUAAUUGAAUUCUCAGCAAUCAGUGCCGAAUUACUUUAAGGAAACGCUACAUCGAAUAAAUUUACAGAUCCUUAGACGAGUAAUCCGCUUGGAAAAAGAAGAUGAUGAACAUCUACUUCAUCACACAGGAAUGAUUUUUGUUAUCAGCUUAGCAGAAGGUGUUUCAAGGUGAUGUUCUUGUGAGAGAAACCUAGAAAAGCAGAGAAUUUCCUUCAUAUAUGAUUAGCAAAAUGACCUGAAACAAAAACAUGAUCUAUGUCAUCCAUUCCAGGUAUGCUGCAGCAUGAGCCGUUUAUUGGUUCCAUGCCAAAAUUUUUGAACUUCUCAUUUGUUGGAAGUUUUUCUCUCAAUCCCCUCCAUAUGAGAAAUGAUAGUUUGAAGGGAAUAGUCUUCUGCCAUGUAAGUGAGGUGAGCUUUGUUUAUUUCCUUUUUUCCUGAUCAGACUCUUGGCUGAUGAACAUGAAAAAUUCUAAUUCUCAGUUGGUUUCCAUACUGCUUCAUCUGCAACUCCAGCCUGAUAAUAGAUUUGAGUGCCCAUGACUUUAGGAACCAAGGUAGGUGGAAUAUUUUACCUUAACAAAGCUUCAUUCCAGUGACCAUUAGCCAAGAAAUAAGAAACAUGAGUGUUGUUUAAGCUGUUGAUCUCACUUUGCCUGUAUUCUUAUACACUUCUGUACCUAUUGAUGUUACUUUGGGCGCUCAACUUAGAACAUCAAAAUAGCAUGAAUGACCUGUAUGUAUCUCAUAUUGUUAUGUCUGGUACUUUCAUGCAUUCCUAGUUUACUCUCAUUAUGUAUCAAUUGUUGAUGUAAUACCAUUUUGUGUGAGUUCAUCAUAAAUCAAUUUAACUUUACGUAGGUUGUCAACCAUGCAUCCUUGUUUCUUUAUCCACUAUAUUUUGUGUUAUUCUUAGUGUAAAUGUUUUGUUUCUUUAUCAAUCAAAUAGGCUCUUAAUAGAAGUUAAGUAUGUUAAACGAACAAUUCUAUUUAUUGCAAGCAUUGGUAUAGAGGAUCCUAGUGUAGGAAUAAUAUAAUUGUAUUGUUUCUCAUUCUAGAAAGCAAAUAGAAUUCAUAGAGCUAAGCAAAAGAUGCCUCACAUGGGAGGAUCCAAAAGCUUGUCAACCUUGAUGAAUGAAAGAGGUAGUCAUGCUUAAAUUACUUGAAUAGGUACUCGUGCAUAACAGGUAGUCCACUAAUACAGCUUCUUGCACAUCCCGUGGUAGCAUACGUUUUUACUCAUUGUGGUUGGAAUUCUACAUUUGAAAGUAUAUUGGAGGAAGUUCCAUUGAUAUGCAGGCCAUUUCUAGAAGACCAACCGGUGAACGUAAGAUAUCUAAGCCAAAUAUACACGAUUGGGUUCGAAUUGGAGGUUAUGAGAGAUCAGUCAUAGAGAAAACAACAAGAAAACAAAGUGCACCGUCAAUCGAUAUGCCACCGCCAAGAUACUGGCAAACGAAGAUGGCUGCUUUGUUUGGGUAUGUUGAUGAAUCUUUCUAUGAUAGAUGACUUGAAUGGAAAAAAGUCAAAACGGAUGUUGAUUUCCUACAAGAUGUUGGCAGAUGAUUCUGACAGGCUGAGAAAAUAGGUACAUUAGCCAAUGGGAAGGUGGAGUCAUACUCGCCCAGCCUUGUUGAGAAGAAAAAUGUGGGGGAGCUUAUAAUGAACGUUGCUUCUACUAGCUCUGUUGCCGCUGCUGCUCCUGCUACUGGUAAAGAUGCCGCAGCAACAUCUGUUGCGGGUUAGAAAAAGAUUUCUUAGAUGCUCAGUCAUUUCCACAAAAGGGGAUUCUAGGUUACCAGCAUCUGGUUGGACCAUUUUGUCAUUUUUCUCCUGAAAUAAAGUAGAGCCAUCACCAGGAUAUACAAAUUUCUCAGGAACUUUUCCAUAUACAAUCAAAGGCGACUUUUCUUGGUGCUUACAAGGGUGGUAUCAACAAUCUUGAAGAGCUACAGUGUCUGGAACAUUUGAAACUGUUGAAUGAUGUUGUUUACAUGAAUAAAAUAGUUCAACUUCCUGUAACAUUCUUCAGACUUGUACGUACAAUUAAGAAGUUAACUUUGGGAAACACAAGGUUUGCAUGGAGUGAGGCAGCCAAAUUAGGGAAAUUGGAAUUCCUUGAGGUUCUUAAGUUGAAAGAAAAUGCAUUCAUGGGUGAUACUUGGAAGCCGGAGGUAGGAGGUUUUAGCAAACUCCAAGUAUUAUGGAAUGAGAGGGCAGAAUUAGAAACUUGGGAGACGUUGAAUCAUAACUUCCCCAUCCUUGGCCAACUUGUUCUUGUCUCGUGUGAUAAGCUCAACUAUGUACCAUUUGAGUUGGCUGAUAUACCUAACCUUUACGAGAUGAGGCUAGAGAACACAAUCAAAGCAGUCAAAUCUGCAAAAGAUAUAGUGGAACAUAAGAUGAUAUCUCAAAACAUAAAAUUCAAGUUCAGUAUAUUCCCCCCUGAAACUGAAUUCAAGGCUACACAGUAAAGUUGAAAGGGGAGAACUUGGAUGUUGAGCUUGCUGGAAGCCAGGGAUCAUCAGACAAAUAGCUAGCUGGAGUAUUAAUGUCAUUUUCAAAUAAGGCUAUCUGUUGCAUUUCGAGUUCCCCUUCGUGUGGAAGCCACAGACAAAUAACUCUUUGCAUCUGUCCUAUUUUGUUAUGGUUAUAUUUUCUUUGUUUUCAUUUGUGUAAAACUCUUGUUUUAAUCUAUUGUUAGUUUCUUUGCAAUA